UUUCGACCUGAACUCAGACGAGAACACCCGCUG
Molecule: ribosomal RNA, 33 nt
Filed under: Bitylenchus hispaniensis
Lineage: Eukaryota; Metazoa; Nematoda; Chromadorea; Rhabditida; Telotylenchidae
Description: partial 28S ribosomal RNA
Source: RNAcentral